This 465-nucleotide ribosomal RNA is filed under the name Vreelandella stevensii. RNAcentral describes it as "partial 16S ribosomal RNA". It matches the Rfam family "Bacterial small subunit ribosomal RNA", at positions 338 to 795 of the family's 1533-position model. Lineage: Bacteria; Pseudomonadati; Pseudomonadota; Gammaproteobacteria; Oceanospirillales; Halomonadaceae. The record is from RNAcentral.
CCUACGGGAGGCAGCAGUGGGGAAUAUUGGACAAUGGGGGCAACCCUGAUCCAGCCAUGCCGCGUGUGUGAAGAAGGCCCUCGGGUUGUAAAGCACUUUCAGUGAGGAAGAACGCCUGGUGGUUAAUACCCAUCAGGAAAGACAUCACUCACAGAAGAAGCACCGGCUAACUCCGUGCCAGCAGCCGCGGUAAUACGGAGGGUGCGAGCGUUAAUCGGAAUUACUGGGCGUAAAGCGCGCGUAGGUGGCUUGAUAAGCCGGUUGUGAAAGCCCCGGGCUCAACCUGGGAACGGCAUCCGGAACUGUCAAGCUAGAGUGCAGGAGAGGAAGGUAGAAUCCCCGGUGUAGCGGUGAAAUGCGUAGAGAUCGGGAGGAAUACCAGUGGCGAAGGCGGCCUUCUGGACUGACACUGACACUGAGGUGCGAAAGCGUGGGUAGCAAACAGGAUUAGAUACCCUGGUAGUC